This 228-nucleotide ribosomal RNA is filed under the name uncultured bacterium. Its description in RNAcentral is "partial 16S ribosomal RNA". It matches the Rfam family "Bacterial small subunit ribosomal RNA", at positions 103 to 334 of the family's 1533-position model. The record is from RNAcentral.
CGGGUGAGUAAUGUCUGGGAAACUGCCUGAUGGAGGGGGAUAACUACUUGAAACGGUAGCUAAUACCGCAUAACGUCGCAAGACCAAAGAGGGGGACCUUAGGGCCUCUUGCCAUCGGAUGUGCCCAGAUGGGAUUAGCUAGUAGGUGGGGUAAUGGCUCACCUAGGCGACGAUCCCUAGCUGGUCUGAGAGGAUGACCAGCCACACUGGAACUGAGACACGGUCCAG